This is a non-coding RNA of Plectropomus leopardus (leopard coralgrouper), 208 nucleotides long. NCBI's taxonomy places the organism in Eukaryota, Metazoa, Chordata, Actinopteri, Perciformes, Serranidae. The record is from RefSeq and is a predicted model, not a curated record.
CGCGGAUUUCGGGACUUUAAUAACUCGUGUAACGCUCUAAUAGCGCUCUCUGCUCUGGGAGGACCGAGGUCACGAAUGUGGCUUACAGAUUGUGGACUGAAAAGACUCUGAGACUCUGAGGACUUUGAGCUACAGUCAGCCGGAGGACGUCCUCACAGCUGGCUGUGGAGUUCACUACAAGGAGUCAGAUUAUUUCUCUGGGCUUAAU